Molecule: ribosomal RNA, 253 nt
Filed under: uncultured bacterium
Lineage: Bacteria
Description: partial 16S ribosomal RNA
Rfam family: Bacterial small subunit ribosomal RNA
Source: RNAcentral
UACGGAGGGGGCGAGCGUUAUUCGGAAUUAUUGGGCGUAAAGGGCGCGUAGGCGGCCUUGCAAGUCAAAGGUGAAAUCCCUCAGCUCAACUGAGGAACUGCCUUUGAAACUGCACGGCUUGAGGCCGGGAGGGGGUAGCGGAAUUCCCAGUGUAGCGGUGAAAUGCGUAGAUAUCGAGAGGAACACCUGCGGCGAAGGCGGGUUGCUGGGCCGACACUGACGCUGAUGCGCGAAAGCCAGGGGAGCGAACGGG